GCCGGUUUAGCUCAGUUGGUAGAGCAACUGAUUUGUAAUCAGUGGGUCGGGAGUUCAAGUCUCUCAACCGGCACCA
Molecule: transfer RNA, 76 nt
Filed under: Maritalea myrionectae
Lineage: Bacteria; Pseudomonadati; Pseudomonadota; Alphaproteobacteria; Hyphomicrobiales; Devosiaceae
Also listed under: 2 other names
Description: tRNA-Thr
Rfam family: tRNA
About the family: Transfer RNA (tRNA) molecules are approximately 80 nucleotides in length. Their secondary structure includes four short double-helical elements and three loops (D, anti-codon, and T loops). Further hydrogen bonds mediate the characteristic L-shaped molecular structure. tRNAs have two regions of fundamental functional importance: the anti-codon, which is responsible for specific mRNA codon recognition, and the 3' end, to which the tRNAs corresponding amino acid is attached (by aminoacyl-tRNA synthetases). tRNAs cope with the degeneracy of the genetic code in two manners: having more than one tRNA (with a specific anti-codon) for a particular amino acid; and 'wobble' base-pairing, i.e. permitting non-standard base-pairing at the 3rd anti-codon position.
Source: RNAcentral